GUAGGGGGCAAGCGUUGUCCGGAUUUAUUGGGCGUAAAGAGCGUGUAGGCGGCCAUGCAGGUCCGUUGUGAAAACUGGAGGCUUAACCUCCAGACGUCGAUGGAAACCGCAUGGCUAGAGUCCGGAAGAGGAGAGUGGAAUUCCCGGUGUAGCGGUGAAAUGCGCAGAUAUCGGGAAGAACACCCGUGGCGAAGGCGGCUCUCUGGGACGGUACUGACGCUGAGACGCGAAAGCGUGGGGAGCGAACAGGAUUAGAUACCCUGGUAGUCCACGCCGUAAACGAUGGGUGCUAGGUGUGGGAGGUGUCGACUCCUUCCGUGCCGCAGCUAACGCAUUAAGCACCCCGCCUGGGGAGUACGGCCACAAGGCUA
This 371-nucleotide ribosomal RNA is filed under the name uncultured bacterium. RNAcentral describes it as "bacterial SSU rRNA". It matches the Rfam family "Bacterial small subunit ribosomal RNA", at positions 527 to 896 of the family's 1533-position model. The record is from RNAcentral.